RNAcentral lists this ribosomal RNA (421 nucleotides) under uncultured bacterium. Its description in RNAcentral is "bacterial SSU rRNA". It matches the Rfam family "Bacterial small subunit ribosomal RNA", at positions 358 to 771 of the family's 1533-position model. The record is from RNAcentral.
GGAAUUUUGGACAAUGGGGGCAACCCUGAUCCAGCCACGCCGCGUUCGGGAAGAAGGCCUUCGGGUUGUAAACCGCUUUUGGCAGGAACGAAACGGUGCUCGCUAAUACCCAGCGCUAAUGACGGUACCUGCAGAAUCAGCACCGGCUACCUACGUGCCAGCAGCCGCGGUAAUACGUAGGGUGCAAGCGUUAAUCGGAAUUACGGGGCGUAAAGCGUACACAGGCGGCUGUGCAAGACAGGUGUGAAAUCCCCGGGCUUAACCUGGGAACUGCAUUUGUGACUGCAUAGCUAGAGUCCGUAAGAGGGGGGUGGAAUUCCACGUGUAGCAGUGAAAUGCGUAGAGAUGUGGAGGAACACCGAUGGCGAAGGCAGCCCCCUGGGAUGAGACUGACGCUCAUGUACGAAAGCGUGGGGAGCAA